ACUCAAAGGAAUUGACGGAAGUUUGAACAAGCGGUGGAGCAUCUGGUUUAAUGCGACACAACGCGCAAAACCUUACCAAUAUUUGAAUAUCAUUUAAUUUUUUUGUAAUGAAAAAAAUCAAUCAAUUAUGGAUUUUUUUUUUGAUGAUGUAAUGAUACAGGUGCUGCAUGGCUGUCGUAAGCUCGUGUAGUGAUAUGUUUGGUUUACUCCUUUAACGAGCGCAACCCUUACUUCUAAUUAAAUUAGAGGGACUGCCUGUGUUAAACCGGAGGAAGGUGGGGAUGAUGUCAAGUCAGUAUGGCCCUUAUGGAUUGGGCUACACAGGUGCUACAAUGAUAAUUACAAAGAGAAGCAAUAACGUGAGUUGGAGCAAAUCUUAAAAAAUUAUCCUAGUUCGAAUUGUUCUCUGCAACUCGAGAACAUGAAGCUGGAAUCGCUAGUAAUCGUAAAACAGCAUGUUACGGUGAAUCUGUGACCAAACUUAGUACACACCGCCCGU
This 499-nucleotide ribosomal RNA is filed under the name uncultured bacterium. RNAcentral's name for it is "partial 16S ribosomal RNA". It matches the Rfam family "Bacterial small subunit ribosomal RNA", at positions 899 to 1397 of the family's 1533-position model. The record is from RNAcentral.